ACUCCUGCCCUUGGUGACUAUAUAUCUGGCGCCAUUCUCUUUGAUGAGAAUCUUUACUAGUCAACUAUAGAUGGAAAGAAUUUUGUAGGCUGUUUGUGAGAUGAGAAUAUUGUAGCCGGUGUUGAAGUUGAUAGGGAUCCAACAGUAAAUCUUGGUGCCAGGGGCUAAAUGGAUUGGCUUCUAGAUCCGCUGAAUACUAUAAGCAAGGGACUUGUUUUGCUAAAUGGUGUGUUGUUUUCGUUUAAACAUGUUGUUUCCUUUUAAGGAAGAAAAACAAAUGGUGCGUCGACCUUUUUCCUUUUGCAUUCUGAUAUUUCAGGAGAACUAUUGUUAGCAUAGCCUUUCUACUUUGGUUGUUAAAAAAGCAGCAUGGGGUCUUGCUCAUUGUGUUGCCAUUUCUCAAGCACCUAUCCCAAUUCCAUUAUAUUCACUAAAUUUCUCUUUUCAGCGUGCUUCUCUUGUUUUUGUGCACUGCAUCCAGGUGACCAUUCUUAAAAACCAAACGAACGAGAUAGAUAUUUAACUUUCUAUUGGUGGUGAAAAUAAUAAGAUGUAUUAUGAUUGCUUGGCAGGACAAUUGGCUCUUGCCUAUUGUGGAACUUGAAAUCCUUCUGGAUGCAGACCAUCGAAUUGAGAGGACACUUUGAAGUACCAGAGCGGGUGUGGUCAGAGGUGUUCUACUACUUAGCACAGAACAAUGAUGUCUUUGAAGGCAUUCUACUAAAACCUUGCAUGGUAACUCCAGGUGCUGACCACAAAGAAAAGUUUCUCCAGAGACCAUUGCCAAGUAUACACUCACCAUGCUAAAAAGGAGUAUGCCUCCGACAGUUCCAAGAAUCAUGGUAUAUAUCUUGGACCCUCUAUCAAUUAAGUUAAUUCUCCGAAUUUUAAACCUUCGUGUUCCAAGGGACCAAGUGUGUAGCCUCUGAAGUUUGGUAGGCUAAAAUUAUGCACUAGUAUAUUGAGGUCAAAACUUAAGAAAGGGUGUUUCAAGCUCCGUAAUUAGAGGUCCUCAAUAAACAUCACACAUAGAAAUGAAAAAAAAAAAAUUGUUGCACCCAAAUUUAACCUAUAUGCCAAAUGGCGAUCUUUUAACAAGUUGAUGUGUUGAACUGAACUAUCCUGCUUUUUUUUUCAUAAAUUAAACAGUUUCAUGAGAAAAGAAUAUGAACAACAUGAACUGAAUACUUGCAUCAUGAAUGCUUUUUAGCCUUACAAUCAUAUAGUAAAUGCUUUGGUCGUUAUUUGAGUGUUCCAAUCCAUGGCACGCUCUUUCCACUAUGCAUGAGCACUACAGAACACAGUGCUUAAGACAUGGCAAGGAUGUGCAGAGAACUUAGAAGCUGCACAAAAAUCACUUUUGGUGUGUGCAAAGGCGUCCUUGGCACAGCUUGAUAAGUACUGAGCUGAAGGGGAGAGCGAGGAGGCUAGGAAAGGAAUGUUUGUUAAGGGCUACACAAAACUACGUGCUAGGUUCACUCAAAAGUCAACUCAUAUAGUCGUGUAAUUUUGAUUAGUUCUUAGUUCUCUCUUGCUAGCUUUGUAUGUCGAGGUGACAAUGGAAAAUCUCGUUGCUCUACUAUUUCCAUGUUUAGUACAAUGCGGUUUAAUAAUAAUAAGAUGUGAUAAGGAUUUAUCUGA
Long non-coding RNA from Olea europaea var. sylvestris, 1641 nucleotides. RefSeq lists it as uncharacterized. The transcript is spliced from 2 exons. NCBI's taxonomy places the organism in Eukaryota, Viridiplantae, Streptophyta, Magnoliopsida, Lamiales, Oleaceae. The record is from RefSeq and is a predicted model, not a curated record.